Molecule: long non-coding RNA, 3858 nt
Filed under: Homo sapiens (human)
Lineage: Eukaryota; Metazoa; Chordata; Mammalia; Primates; Hominidae
Description: non-protein coding lnc-SMOC1-2:8
Source: RNAcentral
GACCACCCAGGAGCUUGGCUGCGCCUGCUGCAGUCUGCGUUUCUGAUAAAUUGAAACCAGUUUUAAUUCUUCUGCCCGGGAGACCUAACCGCCGAAUGCGUUCGGAGCUGUACUGGAACCCAAGGAGAUGUUCACAAGGAAGAUGGAAAGUAAGCUGUGUAACAUCAGCAUUGGGAGCAAGAGCCACAAACCUCAUUUUCAAGUUGGGAAGAAACUCAGGACCCGAGAAGCUACAGGAUUCAGCCCAGUCACAGAGCUUGGUGUGUAUUUGUUCAUUCGCGCACUGCUAUAAAGAAAUACCUGAGACUGGGUAAUUUAUAAAGAAAAGAAGUUAAUUGACUCAGUUCUGCAGGCAAUACAGGAAGCAAGAUGCUGUCAUCCGCUUGGCUUCAGGUCUAAUAUCCAGAAUCUACAAGGAACUUAAACAAAUUUACAAGGAAAAAACAAAUAACCCCAUCAAAAAUAGGACAAAGGAUAUGAACAGACACUUCUCUAAAGAAGACAUUUAUGCGACCAACAAACAUGAAAAAAUGCUCAUCAUCACUGGUCAUUAGAGAAAUGCAAAUCAAAACCACAACGAGAUACCAUCUCACGCCAGUUAGAAUGGUGAUCAUUAAAAAGUCUGGAAACAACAGAUGCUGGAAAGGAUGCGGAGAAAUUGGUAUGCUUUUACAUUGUUGGUGGGAGUGUAAAUUAGUUCAACCAUUGUGGAAGACAGUGUGGCAAUUCCUCAAGGAUCUAGAGCUAGAAAUACCAUUUGACCCAGCAAUCCCAUUACUGGGUAUAUACCCAAAGGAUUAUAAAUCAUUAUACUAUAAAGGCACAUGCACACAUAUGUAUAUUGCAGCACUCAAAAUUCUUUUAAGGAGAAGUUUCCACUUUCCUUAUCGUUGUAUACGCUUCCCUCUUUUAAUUACAUGUUGAGUCCUUCCCUCAUUUAGGCUUGAGAAAAAUGUCCUUAAGUGUCCUAAACUUGCAUUAAACCCACUUACUCAUCAAACCCCACUUAUGACUUCCCUUAGAGGACAAGAGACAUUUCAGCUCAGUUAUAUACUGCUGUUCUCAAUUCCUGCCAUUUUUUUUCCUCUUCCUUUGACCUGCUGGCCUAGGUCUCCAGCUCACUGAAAACAGCCUCCCCUGAUGAGCACACCAUUGUUAUGUAAUAGCCUAACCCUUACCCCUCGCCUAUCAGGGGGUGCCAAGCCUGCAGACUCACUCUGCUUUCCUCAUAACUGCCCUGAGGAGAAGGCUGAAGACUGAGGAAUCCUCUUUCUGCCUCCCAUUUGACUGCAUUUUCUUUGGUCAGAGUCUCCCUUAUUCAUGGGACCUGCCUGGGUCCAGGACCCCUUGACAGGUGCUCUCUGGCUGCCUGUCCUCUGGGCACUCUUGUCCCAGGUCUAUUGUUUUCAUGACCCACCAGGAUGGCGCUUCACUUCCUCAGAAAUUGUGAUCCCCAGGAAAGUGCCCCACAGGAGGGGUGGAGUUGAGAUGCCAGACCAGCUCUCUUACAGCAUGCAUUUCCGGGGCCGAAGACACGUGAUUCACAUGAAGCUCAAGAAGAACAUGAUGCCCAGACAUUUACCUGUUUUUACUAAUAAUGACCAAGGGGCCAUGCAGGAGAACUACCCUUUUGUCCCACGAGACUGUUACUACGAUUGCUACCUGGAAGGGGUUCCUGGGUCUGUGGCCACAUUGGACACCUGCCGUGGAGGUCUGCGUGGCAUGCUGCAGGUGGAUGACCUGACUUAUGAAAUCAAACCCCUGGAGGCUUUUUCCAAAUUUGAGUAUGUAGUAUCUCUGCUUGUGUCAGAAGAAAGACCAGGAGAGGUCAGUAGAUGUAAGACUGAAGGGGAAGAGAUAGAUCAAGAAUCUGAAAAGGUAAAACUGGCUGAAACUCCCAGAGAAGGCCACGUUUAUUUGUGGAGGCAUCAUAGAAAAAACUUGAAACUUCACUACACAGUUACUAAUGGAUUAUUCAUGCAGAACCCUAAUAUGUCACACAUAAUAGAGAAUGUAGUGAUUAUUAACAGCAUCAUACAUACCAUUUUCAAACCAGUUUAUUUAAAUGUCUAUGUACGUGUUUUGUGCAUAUGGAAUGAUAUGGAUAUAGUAAUGUAUAACAUGCCUGCCGACCUGGUUGUAGGAGAGUUUGGUUCGUGGAAAUAUUAUGAAUGGUUUUCACAAAUUCCACAUGAUACCUCAGUUGUUUUUACAUCAAAUUGACUUGGAAACAGUGAGUGUUAUGCCAGCUUUGACGGAAUAUGCAACCCCAACUGGGGAGCAAUGUUUGUGUAUAUAAUGAGGUAUCACCUAUUUAGGGGGGCAUGUGUUACAGCACAUGCACUAGGUCAUAACAUGGGCUUGAGACAUGAUUCUGUUGGUUGUUAUUGUUUUCGACGAACCAACUAUCUCAUGGCUCCUGUUCCUGAUCUUAAUGAUAUGAUGAGCAAUUGUUCUUAUGAGAUAAUUCAACGCAAGUUUAAUCAAUGGGAUCCUUGUUUGAGUGCUCCAAAUUUUCCAUACCUAAUUUUCCAUACGUAGCUCCUCGUUGUGGAGACAAUAUCAAAAAUCAGAGGGAAGAAUGUGACUGUGGCUCCCUUAAAGAUUGUGCCAGUGAUAGAUGUUGUGAGACCUCUUGUACCCUUUCUCUUGGCAGUGUUUGCAAUACAGGACUUUGCUGCCAUAAGUGUAAAUAUGCUGCCCCUGGAGUGGUUUGCAGAGACUUGGGUGGUAUAUGUGAUCUACCAAAAUACUGUGAUGGGAAAAAGGAAGAGUGUCCAAAUGACAUCUACAUCCAGGAUGGAACCCCAUGUUCAGCAGUAUCUGUUUGUAUAAGAGGAAACUGCAGUGACCGUGAUAUGCAGUGUCAAGCCCUUUUUGGCUACCAAGUGAAAGACGGUUCCCCAGCGUGCUAUCAAAAAUUGAAUAGGAUUGGUAACUGAUUUGGAAACUGUGGGGUUAUUCUACGGCGAGGGGGAAGUAGACCUUUUCCAUGUGAAGAAGAUGAUGUUUUCUGUGGAAUGUUGCACUGUAGCGGUGUCAGCCACAUUCCCGGUUGAGCUGAGCACACUACAUUUCGUAAUAUAUUAGUACACGACAUAAAAGAAGAAAAAUGCUUUGGCUAUGAAGCACACCAGGGGACAGACUUGCCAGAAAUGGGGCUGGUAGUGGAUGGUGCAACCUGUGGCCCAGGGAGCUACUGUCUUAAACACAAUUGUACUUCUUAUCAAGACCUGCAUUUUGAGUGUGAUCUUAAAACAUGCAAUUACAAAGGAGUAUGUAACAACAAAAAACAUUGUCACUGUCUGCAUGGGUGGCAACCACCAACAUGUGAACUGAGAGGAAAAGGAGGUAGUAUAGAUAGUGGCCCUCCACCUGACAAACAAUAUCGUAUUACAGCCAGCACACUUGCGAAUAUAAACUGAGCACUACUUUUAAUAUUUACUCGUUGCAUCCUUUUUCUGGUUUCACUUCUCUUUGGUGGCUUUUCACAAGCAAUAGAAUUUAUGGAAGAGAAAAUAAUGAAAACUACUGAACCUAAUGAGUAAAUACUAAUGGAAGCCCACACAAUGGAGAAAAUCACGUUGACACUUACUGGGAGUUAUAAUCAAUAGUCACUCUGACGGUUACAUCACCUUUUAGCAAUUCUGAUGUCAUCUUGAAGUAAAAUCACUUGGCAAUUUAAAAAGGGUCUGUGUGUUUAAAUUUACUUCACAUUUCAUGUGUGGUCGUAUUCUCAAUACUUCUAUAGAUGACGGCAGAAACUCUUAGAUUCACUAACAAGAGGACCUGUACUCAUUUAAGAUUUGGGGCUAAUGUUUUCUAGAUACCCCUGUGGCAAAUCCCGUGUACACUAAU